RNAcentral lists this transfer RNA (70 nucleotides) under Methanobrevibacter millerae. Its description in RNAcentral is "tRNA_Arg_TCT". It matches the Rfam family "tRNA". From Rfam's summary of the family: Transfer RNA (tRNA) molecules are approximately 80 nucleotides in length. Lineage: Archaea; Methanobacteriati; Methanobacteriota; Methanobacteria; Methanobacteriales; Methanobacteriaceae. The record is from RNAcentral.
GAAUCUAUAAUUUAAUGGAAGAAUGUUUGCCUUCUAAGCAAAUGAUGUGGGUUCGAAUCCCACUAGGUCG